Molecule: ribosomal RNA, 495 nt
Filed under: uncultured bacterium
Lineage: Bacteria
Description: partial 16S ribosomal RNA
Rfam family: Bacterial small subunit ribosomal RNA
Source: RNAcentral
GACGAACGCUGGCGGCGUGCCUAAUACAUGCAAGUAGAACGCUGAAGGAGGAGCUUGCUUCUCUGGAUGAGUUGCGAACGGGUGAGUAACGCGUAGGUAACCUGCCUGGUAGCGGGGGAUAACUAUUGGAAACGAUAGCUAAUACCGCAUAAGAGUAGAUGUUGCAUGACAUUUACUUAAAAGGUGCAAUUGCAUCACUACCAGAUGGACCUGCGUUGUAUUAGCUAGUUGGUGAGGUAACGGCUCACCAAGGCAACGUUACAUAGCCGACCUGAGAGGGUGAUCGGCCACACUGGGACUGAGACACGGCCCAGACUCCUACGGGAGGCAGCAGUAGGGAAUCUUCGGCAAUGGACGGAAGUCUGACCGAGCAACGCCGCGUGAGUGAAGAAGGUUUUCGGAUCGUAAAGCUCUGUUGUAAGAGAAGAACGAGUGUGAGAGUGGAAAGUUCACACUGUGACGGUAUCUUACCAGAAAGGGACGGCUAACUACGUG